Molecule: ribosomal RNA, 541 nt
Filed under: uncultured Gallionellaceae bacterium
Lineage: Bacteria; Pseudomonadati; Pseudomonadota; Betaproteobacteria; Nitrosomonadales; Gallionellaceae
Description: bacterial SSU rRNA
Rfam family: Bacterial small subunit ribosomal RNA
Source: RNAcentral
AAUGGGGGAUAACRUAKCGAAAGUUWCGCUAAUACCGCAUAUGCCCUGAGGGGGAAAGUGGGGGAUCGCAAGACCUCACGUUUUCGGAGCGGCCGAUAUCAGAUUAGCUAGUUGGUGGGGUAAAGGCCYACCAAGGCGACGAUCUGUAGCUGGUCUGAGAGGACGACCAGCCACACUGGGACUGAGACACGGCCCAGACUCCUACGGGAGGCAGCAGUGGGGAAUUUUGGACAAUGGGGGCAACCCUGAUCCAGCCAUGCCGCGUGAGUGAAGAAGGCCUUCGGGUUGUAAAGCUCUUUCGGACGGAAAGAAAUCGCMCGGGAUAAUACCCCGKGUGGAUGACGGUACCGUAAGAAGAAGCACCGGCUAACUACGUGCCAGCAGCCGCGGUAAUACGUAGGGUGCGAGCGUUAAUCGGAAUUACUGGGCGUAAAGCGUGCGCAGGCGGUUUAUUAAGACAGAUGUGAAAUCCCCGGGCUUAACCUGGGAACUGCAUUUGUGACUGGUAAGCUAGAGUGUAGCAGAGGGGGGUAGAAUUCCA